Molecule: ribosomal RNA, 1327 nt
Filed under: Enterococcus hirae
Lineage: Bacteria; Bacillati; Bacillota; Bacilli; Lactobacillales; Enterococcaceae
Description: partial 23S ribosomal RNA
Rfam family: Bacterial large subunit ribosomal RNA
Source: RNAcentral
UAGGCAAAUCCGGGUGGCAAUGGGAAUCCGUGAUGCGGAGCGAAAUAAAGUAGCGAAGUCCGUGAGCCAUGCGUCAAGAAAAGCCGCUAUUGUUUAUACCGUACCCGUACCGUAAACCGACACAGGUGGAUGAGGAGAGAAUCCUAAGGCCGGCGGAAGAAGCAUUGUCAAGGAACUCGGCAAAAUGGCCCCGUAACUUAGGGAUAAGGGGUGCCUGGGAAACCAGGCCGCAGAGAAUAGGCUCAAGCAACUGUUUAGCAAAAACACAGGUCUAUGCGAAACCGAAAGGUGAGGUAUAUGGGCUGACGCCUGCCCGGUGCUGGAAGGUUAAGAGGAGAGGUUAGCGCAAACGCGAAGCUUUGAAUUUAAGCCCCAGUAAACGGCGGCCGUAACUAUAACGGUCCUAAGGUAGCGAAAUUCCUUGUCGGGUAAGUUCCGACCCGCACGAAAGGCGUAAUGAUUUGAGCGCUGUCUCGACAAUGCAUCCGGUGAAAUUGAAGUACCAGUGAAGAUGCUGGUUACCUGCGCCAGGACGGAAAGACCCCAUGGAGCUUUACUCCAGUCUGGUACUGGGACUCGGUAUUGCAUGUACAGGAUAGGUGGGAGGCUAGGAGAUGGUAACGCCAGUUGCCAUGGAGCCGCUGUUGGGAUACCACCCUUGCAGUAUUGGGUUUCUAACCAGCCGCCGUGACCCGGCGGUGGGACAAUGCCAGACGGGGAGUUUGACUGGGGCGGUCGCCUCCGAAAGGGUAUCGGAGGCGCCCAAAGGUUCCCUCAGAAUGGACGGAAACCAUUCGAAGAGUGCAAAGGCAGAAGGGAGCUUGACUGCGACACCGACGGGUGGAGCAGGUACGAAAGUAGGGCUUAGUGAUCCGGUGGUAUUAAGUGGGAAUGCCAUCGCUCAACGGAUAAAAGCUACCCUGGGGAUAACAGGCUUAUCACUCCCAAGAGUUCACAUCGACGGAGUGGUUUGGCACCUCGAUGUCGGCUCAUCGCAUCCUGGGGCUGUAGUAGGUCCCAAGGGUUGGGCUGUUCGCCCAUUAAAGCGGUACGCGAGCUGGGUUCAGAACGUCGUGAGACAGUUCGGUCCCUAUCCGGCGUGGGCGUAGGAUAUCUGAGAGGAGCUGUCCUUAGUACGAGAGGACCGGGAUGGACGGGCCGCUGGUGCAUCGGUUAGACUGCCAAGUCUACGGCCGAGUAGCCAAGCCCGGAAGGGAUAAACGCUGAAGGCAUCUAAGCGUGAAGCCCCCCUUAAGAUGAGAUAUCCCAUUCGUAAGAAGUAAACCCCCUUGAAGACGACGAGGUAGAUAGGGCAGAGGUGGAAGUG